Molecule: non-coding RNA, 6761 nt
Organism: Zonotrichia albicollis (white-throated sparrow)
Lineage: Eukaryota; Metazoa; Chordata; Aves; Passeriformes; Passerellidae
Source: RefSeq, a predicted model, not a curated record
GCGGCCGGCGGCCGCCGCGCUCGCCUGACCUGCGUGCCCCGCUGGCCGCGCCGGGCUGCCCCGAAGGAUGUCCGCCCAGUCCAAGGGGACCGCAUCCUCCUCCUCCUCGCCGUCCGAGGGGCCGCCGGCAGCCUCCAAAACCAAGGUGAAGGAGCAGAUCAAGAUCAUCGUGGAGGAUUUGGAAUUAGUCCUGGGAGACCUGAAAGAUGUCGCCAAGGAACUUAAGGAGGUGGUUGACCAGAUUGACACACUGACAUGUGAUCUGCAGCUGGAGGAUGAGAUGACAGACAGCUCCAAAACAGACACCCUGAACAGCAGCUCCAGCAGCACAACGGCCUCCAGCCUGGAGAAGGUGAAGGUGCGGGGCAGCGCGCCGCUCAUCAAGCCGCCCGCGCACCCCUCCGCCAUCCUCACCGUGCUGCGCAAGCCCAACCCGCCCCCUCCGCCGCCUCGCCUGACGCCCGUCAGGUGCGAUGAGCCCCCCAGGCUGCCUCCCUUGGCCAACCCGCUCAAGACCAAUGGCACCCUGCUGCGGAACGGGGGCCUGCCCGCGGCGCCGGGCCGCGUCCCCAACGGAGAUGUGUGCUGUGUGCCCAGCAGCGGCCUGGAGAAGGUGGUGAUGCCGCCGCACAGGGCGGAGAAGGAGCGGUGUGCCCAGGCCGGAGCCAGGGAGCGAGUGCGGUUCAGCGAGAAGGUGCAGUACCACGGGUACUGCCCCGACUGUGACGUUCGCUACAACAUCAAAAACAGAGAGGUGCACUUGCACAGCGAGCCCGCCCGGGCUGCGGGAAAGCUGCCACACCAGUGCCCUCCUCUGCCGCCUCCUCCACCUCCACUGCCUCCAUUUCUUCUGGAAAAUGGAGGGUUGGGGAUAAGUCCCAGUAAUAGCUUUCCUCCUCCAAGACCUGCAACUGUGCCUCCACAAACUGCGCCAAAACCCCAGAAGACCAUCUUGAGGAAAUCAACCACUACAACAGUGUGAAGUAUGCCCCUUGUAAUAACUCUUUGUUUUUUCCUAUAUAUAAACAUAAAUAGGUAAUGAGCACUUUCUACUUGAGCAAUAAAAAGACCCAGUGUAUUACACCCUGUGUCCAGUGAAGUGGCAUAAAAAUCACAUGGUUCUACACCAGAAGCUGACUUCUCACAAGCUACAGAGGAGGUCAAGUGUUCUGACUCUUUAACUUCUCUCCCCCCAGUCCUUUGAGUAAAGCCACAUUCUCUUGCGGAUGAGUGGAGUUACCUGACACUCAUUGCAGCAACAAAGGCAGCUGAGCCAACCAUUCUCUCCUGGAGUAUUUGCAAGAGCUGUUGAAACAAAAGUUGACCCCUGCAAAGGAAGCACCUUCAGGCUUGAAGGAAUAUCUGUAUUUGGAGGCACGUCAAUUAAUUUGCGUAUCAGAUUCAUCAUUGUGACUUCUUGCAGGCCAGAUCUGAGAAGUAACCAGGAAACCUGACCUUUAGUGGAGAAUGGAAGAACCCUUGAAGUCAGAGCACAACUGAGCACUAGUGUAAUCUGCAUUGAAUCAUCUUUCUCAGAUCUGACAGCUAGAAGCUGAGUCCUGGCAACAGCCACAGCCUUAAAUUCCAUUCAGUGGGAAAGAAGGAUAAGAGAACUCAAUGUUUUGCCCCAUUGCAGAAACUGCUGUUUCCAGGCCUAACACCUGAGUCCUGUGCUGAGCAACAAGAGUACCAAACAAGGAGGUUUUUAUGGGUACAGCCAACAUCAACAAAUAUUUCAAUAUGUAGCCAAAAGGAAAAAGGAAGCACUUAGUAAUUUCAGAAAAUGGAUGCAUUUAUUGUAACAGAGAAAUGUUACUGUCUGUGGGGAAGAAGACCUCUGUUGUCCCUUGUAUGUAUUCAAAGCCAUACAGGAACAGGGCAUAAGGGAAGUCACUUAAAAGGAUGCUCUCUCCUGUCCUCCACCCAACUUUGAGGAAGUUCUGCUCUUAGAGAUUGCAUCUCGAGGCACUUCUGUUAUUUGCACUGUCACUUCCAUUCAGGGUAAUGAUGUGUGCCACCAUUUGCACAGAUGGCCCCAGGAGAUUUUUGACCACAACAAGCUAUACUUUGCCAGGGCUCCAAAUGGAAUUUAAAAGUUAGAACUGAAGAAACAUUUAUGCUCUCUUUUACUAUGGGGAUCUCUUCACAGAAAGGAUUAUGGUCCUUUCUUAGGAUGAAAUAAAUACAUGCAUAUACAUACAUAUAUACAUAUGUAUAUAUAUGAAAAAACAGCAACAUGAUAAGGUGUAUUUAAAAAGGGGAUAUAAUCUUUUUUAAUAGCAUCCAUUUUUUUUAUCAUAUUAGCAGCCGAGAAAUUUAAUCUAUUGAAUUAUACAUCAAAAAACGUUCCUGUUGAACAUUGACAUUUAGUCCCAGUUACUGCUAAAGAAGUCAUUUGUAAUAUGUACUUGACAUAAAAUUUUUCUAGCCAUUUGUCUAUGCUUCAUGGAGAAAUCUAACAGACAAGCAACAUUUUCAGUUUAUUUUUCUAAAUAAAUGUGUUGUUUGUAUUAUUUGCAGUCACUCAUUUUGGCUGGUUUUCAUUAUCUCCAAAAGUGAUUUAAAGACAGAACCAAAACACAGGGAUUGUUUGUUCUUGUUAAGCUGUAAUGAUUUGCUGAAUGAAAGCUUUAAUAUAAAUACUGUAAUUUGUAAAAUGAUGAAGUAUAUUUAUAUAGGCAAAUAUGUAUGGAAAACAAAAGGAGGUAUUUUAACUCUUAAUUUCAGAACAUAGUUUAUUUUAAUAUCCACAGGAAGAAAUUAAAUAUAUAAUGGGAUAGGGUUUUUAUUAUCAAUGAGUUUUACUAAGUGAAAAUUUGGAUGUUUAAGAAUGAAAUGAAUGUAGUCAAAUAAUGGUGGUUUCCCAAAUUAUACGAAGACCUUUUGCCAGUUGUCUCAUUUUACUCAAAAACUGAUUUAAUCAUCAGGGGGUUGGGUUUUUCUGGGGGGGUGUGUGUGCUAAGGUUUUUGUUUGGUGUUUUGUUUGUUUUGGCAUACUGACAGGACCAUGAAUUUGAUACUAUUUGCUCAUAAUUUGAAAAGCUACAGAAUAAAAUAUUGUUUCUUAGAACAAUCUACAGUUUGCAGUUAAGAACAGUCAUUGUUAUCAAACUAAUGCAGUGUUUUGUUGUAGAGUUACUGAACAUUUCAAUGCUAGAGCUGUUUUGAAUAAAUUUUUUUUCCAUUUUUUCUUAGUCCAUUAGCCUAUGUGUAAUUCAAAGAGAAAAGUAAUGCAUUUGGUUCCCAGUUCACUUAAAUAAUGUGUCUUAAUUCCAGUUAUAUGUAUCUGAUUUUUAAGAAGCUGAAUAGCUUUUUUUUUUUCCAGUUCAUUGCUUUAUAGAAGCAUUUGAAGUGCUUUUAAGUGCUCACUACCAGAAAAAAUACCUUUCAACAACAGAAAUAAUUUUCAAAAAAUCUGUGGGUUAACUUUGUGGAGGGCAGAUGUCUUAAAAAUGUGUUGCUCUGCUCUAAUGUGCUAACAAGUGUAAUGCGUGUAUGUUUGUGUGUGCGUGUGCACGCAUGGCACCCUUACCUGCUCAUGAAUGAAAUGCCAGCUCUGCUGAAGUAAGUGCCACAAGUCCUGUUACUGCAAAAGAUGCUCAUGUUACUGUAUUCUUUGGUGAAAGACCUCUGUCUUUGCUUGUGACUCUGAAGCCAUAAACAGCUUUUGAAGUUUGUCAGGAAAUCAGAAAAUUAAGUAUAUUUAUGUUAGGCUCCUUCAUUUGGCAAAAAUUGGGAUGAUCUUAUGAUUUGACUCAUUUUAUGAAAGUUAGUGGUCAAUUUCCUUUGGCGCAAUGGAUAAAUGAAACCUUUGUGUUUGUUGAAGAAUGAUGUCUGUGUUUUGUUCACACACAAUUCAGCUUUUGGCUUAUAGUGUUCUUACUGUGAUGUCAUUCCUGUAUCAUUAGAAUAACUUAUUUGGACACAUAACUGGCAUGGGCUUGGUUUUCCUCCUUUUUUGGAUUAUCGGUAUUUUAAAAUUGGAGAGCUUCUUCUUUGAGACAAGUAUUCAGUUGUUUAAGAAGGGAACAACAUUAUUGAAACAAUAAGAAAAUUUCAGAAUAAUAAUUCGAACACUUCCAUCAUUGUCCAAUAAUAACACUUGAAAAAGCUCUUAUUUUUGUGAACAAAAUGCAUUCAUCUGUAUUUGAAAAUAGCCCAAUAAAAAUCCAGUGGAAUAAUUUGUUACUACUUGCAAAUACUUUUCUGCUAUGCUGAGUUCUAGAUCAACUUGUGUGUAAAAUUUUUAUUGCACAAAACCCACCUAAAACAAUGCUCAGUUUUCUUCAGAAAAAUACAUGAGAUAUGAAAUAUAAUGAUUUCGUCCCAGGAGUGGUUUUAUGUAAUUUGUGCAAUGCAAAAAUGAUGAACAGAUACCAACAUGUAGGCCUAAUUUAAGUGACAGAUGUAAUUGGAAGAUAACACUGCAAACCACAGGUCUCAUUAAUCACAUGCUGUUAUUUGCACCUCUGCUUAACUGGGACUUCAUGCUGGAAAGUAAAUUUCAGUGUGCGUGCACACUCAUACAGUGUUAUGUAUCAUGUCUUAUUUUAGUAGCAGUGUCACUGGGAGAAAUUCAGAAAUUUUCUUGAUUUAAAUUAAAUUCUUAGAUAAGUAUUCAAUAUUGGAUAUAAAUUGAGAUGAUGUCUGCAUAUUGUGCAGAUACUCCCAUCAGAUAGCAUUUCAACACAAUUUCAGAAAUUGCUGGCAAAUAAUUAUCACUGAAAUUUUGUAGUUUAAAACCGGAGGAGAUAAUUAUAUUAUCUAUUGAACAGCAAAAAAAUUGUGGUAUUUCCGUUAUGUUCAUCCAAGCAUACUGACAACACCAGGAGAACUUUUUCCCCUGAGAUGACUUUUCAGCAGCUAAUGGGUCCUUUUGUGGGUAUUUGUGUCAUGCAUACAAGAAAGGCCUACACAAAUAGUUCUGGCCUAAUAGUGCAUUGUUCCCUUAGAGGGCAUCUGAAAAGCCACCUGGAGCAGCCAAUAAGUUUGAAAGGAUGAGGUGUGCAAAACAAAAUGCUGACAGAUCUAGACUUGUCUGCAAGACAGAAUUUCAGCACUUGAAAUUUUUAAAAGACAAGGAUCGCCAUCUUUCAUGAGAAAAAUUGGGAUAUGUUAAAAUAGCUCUUUUACAGAGCGGAAGACAAAGACUAUGAAAACCUGGUGAUCACCAGGGUGAUAUACAAGUGUCCCUCCUGACAGAGCUGCUCCAAGUGUCACAUGUUGAGAAUAUCCCCAAGGGACAGGUUUUGUUUUUACCCCUGUGAUCAGUGGUGUGCUGGGUACAUGGCAAGGCAGUGAUGUUGUUACUAAAAGCUGACCACAAGACAGUGGUAGGCUGUUGUCUAAGGAGAGCUGGAGGAAGGACAGCCACCAUUCUGCCCAGGAGUGUCCUGCUAGGGAGGAAGCUGUUACUGAGACUGGAUCAUAGAAGGAAUCUCAGAGGACUACUGAGACUAAAUCAAUGAUUUUCAUGAACUGGACUAUUGAAGAUGCCAUGAGAGGGGAAAAAAAAGGAUGUUGUUCAAAAUACUUCUCUCUCUAGAUUCAAUGUCCUUGCAGAUCUGCUAGGAAGCCAUGAAAUCUCCCCACAGCUGGGCUGAAUUUCAGAAAAGAUAAUUAUAAGCAAGAACUCCUGUUCAGGAGAAUCUGGAAGGAAUAGGGUAAAGUCAUGGCAGAUGGCAUAGAGACUAUUCAAGUUAUUCUUGAAGGAAGAGAGUAAAUACAUUCUGCUUAGCUAGAAAGGCUUGAGAAAGGGUAAAAGGGAAACCACACGGCUAAUCAGCAGGGUAUCAGAGGCUACUGAGGGCAAGAAGUCCUUCAGAUAGUUGAAGAUUUUUAAAGAAAGUGUAAGGAUUAAAUGUAAGACUAAAUACAAAUUUAAAAAGAAAAAAAAACCCCAAACAACAAACCCAGAGCAACAUUAAUCAAAUCAACUCCAAGAUACUUAAGAGAUUUCUUAAUUAAAAUAGUUGAAAGAAACUAGAAUUAAGAAAUUCUGUUUCUGCAGCAGAGCAGAGGGAAGUCUGGGAGACCAUCUGUAAUGCUGAAAGAUAAUCAAGGAAAACAGAAGCACUUGCAAGAAGCUUUAGGAACAAGAUGGUCAGAACACUUUAACUCUGCUCAUGCUGUGGAAGAACUUUUGUAGGUUCUCACACAUUAUUUUUUUUUGUGGGGGAGCUCAUAUGAAGUCAUGGUUUGCCAGUUUGAGGUGGUACAAAACAAAAUGAAGGGAUAUAAAGCUAAGAUUUUUAAAGACACUCCGGGGUGAAGUAGCCAAAUCAUGCCUGUGGAAUGAAAUUCUUUGUUUAAAGUUAUUUUGAUAGCUUUUGAGAUGUGAGGUUGCAACUAUGUUGCCAGUUUUAUAUUGAAAGAGUAUGGUCCAUUGAAUCACUAUGAGGCAAAAGCAUUCAAACUUCAAUAAUGUAUCUCUAAAAAGAGCUAAACACAUCUAACGGUGUCAAUAUUACCAAACACCACAGGAAAUUGCACAGAUGGCUAAGAGAAAACACAAAAGAAACUGCAGCUGGCUAAGAGGAAAGUUCCUAACUUCAUAAAAAGAUGAAAAAUAUUGGAGAAAAUAGUGAUUUUUGUGUCAGUUUUCACAGGCGACAGAGGCCAAGAGUGAAUUUCCAAGGGACAUAUUCUGUGAUCCAUGUGUUUCAAAAUAUAUUUGAACAUGUGAAUAUGCUGGAAAAGUAGUGUAUAGUUAAGUGGUGAAUUUGGUGAUCAUACUAAAUUAAUAAAGAUGAUAAAUAGGA